GUGGGUCGAUGAAGAACGCAGCCAACUGCGAUAAGUAGUGUGAACUGCAGAAACCUUGAACACAGAACAUUCGAAUGCACAUUGCGCCAUUGGAGUAACAUCCAUUGGCACGCCUGGUUCAGGGU
RNAcentral lists this ribosomal RNA (125 nucleotides) under Rotylenchulus reniformis. RNAcentral describes it as "partial 5.8S ribosomal RNA". It matches the Rfam family "5.8S ribosomal RNA", at positions 33 to 152 of the family's 154-position model. From Rfam's summary of the family: 5.8S ribosomal RNA (5.8S rRNA) is a component of the large subunit of the eukaryotic ribosome. It is transcribed by RNA polymerase I as part of the 45S precursor that also contains 18S and 28S rRNA. Lineage: Eukaryota; Metazoa; Nematoda; Chromadorea; Rhabditida; Hoplolaimidae. The record is from RNAcentral.